RNAcentral lists this ribosomal RNA (600 nucleotides) under Triticum aestivum (bread wheat). RNAcentral's name for it is "partial small subunit ribosomal RNA". Lineage: Eukaryota; Viridiplantae; Streptophyta; Magnoliopsida; Poales; Poaceae. The record is from RNAcentral.
AUGGCCUUCCCCUCUUUCACAUGGCCUUUCCGCCGCCGAGCCGGCCCAAGCAAACCCUCCGCCGCGGAGGGGAAGGAGGAGGACGCGGAGGCGCUCGGCGUGACGCCGCAGCUCCUCGACUUCCUCCGGACGCUCUCCCCCGACGCCUUCAAGUCGUCCGCCCUCCAGCUCCACCAAGGCACCCCCUCCUUCCUCCCCUCUCGAUUCCGCCCCCCUGCUAGUUCAGUCUCGAUUACUGACGGUGAUGCGCCAUGUUGUCUCGCAGGGGCCUCCGCGGAGGCGGCGGGAGAGCUCUCGGACUGGCAGCAGCGGCACGCCGUCCUCGUGCUCGCCAGAGCCAAGGAACUCGCUAAGGUCCGCUAUGAUCUGUGCCCACGCCACAUGAAGGACAAGCAGUUCUGGACAAUCUACUUCCUGCUCGCCAGGACCUACAUCUUGCCGUACGAGUUACGUGCCAUACAAAAAGAAAAGGUAAGAAGGAUGGAGACAGAGAACGGAAAGUCAAAAGAUGUGAUUGCUGUUGAGGUGGAGAUGCAGGAAUCAAAAUGCAGUAGAGAAUCUCAAACGUUACCAGAUGAUUCAGAACCUCAGGGUUCAUAG